RNAcentral lists this ribosomal RNA (404 nucleotides) under Actinomycetes bacterium. RNAcentral's name for it is "Actinobacteria bacterium partial 16S ribosomal RNA". It matches the Rfam family "Bacterial small subunit ribosomal RNA", at positions 355 to 776 of the family's 1533-position model. Lineage: Bacteria; Bacillati; Actinomycetota; Actinomycetes. The record is from RNAcentral.
UGGGGAAUAUUGGACAAUGGGCGCAAGCCUGAUCCAGCCAUGCCGCGUGAGUGAUGAAGGCCCUAGGGUUGUAAAGCUCUUUCACCGGUGAAGAUAAUGACGGUAACCGGAGAAGAAGCCCCGGCUAACUUCGUGCCAGCAGCCGCGGUAAUACGAAGGGGGCUAGCGUUGUUCGGAUUUACUGGGCGUAAAGCGCACGUAGGCGGACUAUUAAGUCAGGGGUGAAAUCCCGGGGAUCAACCCCGGAACUGCCUUUGAUACUGGUAGUCUUGAGUUCGAGAGAGGUGAGUGGAAUUCCGAGUGUAGAGGUGAAAUUCGUAGAUAUUCGGAGGAACACCAGUGGCGAAGGCAGCUCACUGGCUCGAUACUGACGCUGAGGUGCGAAAGCGUGGGGAGCAAACAGG